UGGGGGGCCUGGAGAGUCUCUGCCAAACCCGCUGGUGACUCCCGGCCUGAGCCAGCCUUGCUGGGCCCAUCACUCACCUGCCACCCACACCACACACCUGGGCCCCUCUCCCCACCCCCUGGCUGCAAACCAGGGGUCCCAGGAAGGGAUGGGGCCCUCAGGAGGCCAGGCCAGGGCUUCUUAACAGGGUGGUGUGAUUUUGGGAGCAGGUUCCUCUGUACCCUGACACCCCUGGAGCCCCCGUGGUCGCCGCCUCUACCUGAACUGAUGUCAGAAUCAACAUCUCCCUUUCUCAACUUGUCUUUCUCUCCCUCUGGAAUUUCCUGUGAGGCUUAGAGGGACGUGGAAACCCUCCUUGGGUCCCACAAGGACAGAGGCCCAGCCACCUGGCCAAUGCUAGGGGACCCUGGCCUGCCCCCUCUGGAACCGCAGCACCACCCCAAACCUCCAUUGCCUCCCGGUAUGCCCCGGAUCUCACGUGUGGUUCAUGGCACACCCAGCCCAGCCCGUGGGGCCUUCUCCCUCCUGAGUGGCAGCUGCCCUUGGCUCCCAGCCCUGGGCCCCAAGGGAAGAGAAAUUUCCAGCAGGCUGGCAGCUCUAUCACCAGCCCAGCCCAGGCUGAGGGAGGAACUGGGGGGUCCAAUGAGGGCAGAGACCCCAGUGAGGAGGUCCUCGUGAUUCCCCACUCUGGGCUCUGGGCUCAGCUCUUUGGCAGGGAGAUUCCAUCCAGCACUAGCCUGGUGAGCCCUGCUCAGAGAGGGCCAGGAAAUCUCUCAGGUCACACAGCAAUUUCCGUAUAAGACACACAGUUUCUGGCAAUGGGCUGCAGCUCCUCUUCCAGAUCUCAGUGGUCGGAGACUGGUCCAGCUGUGGAUCUGAGAGCCAAGGGGCCUGGGUUGCAAUCCCAAACCCCACUUCCAGCCCUCCUGACUCCUGGCUGCGUGAAAAAGGUGGACUGGGGUUGGAUGUUACAGGAGGAGGGAACCAGUUCAAAGGACACAAGAAGGGAUUCACGGUGAGGGCCAAUUAGAUGUGGGCCAUGAGCUGCCAGGGCAGAUCUUGGGGACAGGGCAGGAGCUCCGUGGGCGACAGUGCCAGUGCGGUAAUGACCACAUUUGAGUGGGGUUGGGUGACCUCACCAGGAAUCUGUCUUCUGCCGUGUUGUGUCAAAAGGAGCAUGUGGCCGGGCACAGUGGCUCACACCUGCAAUCCCAGCACUUUGGAAGGCUGAGGUGGGUGGAUCACUUGAGGUCAGGAGUUCAAGACCAGCCUGGCCAACAUGGAGAAACUCCAUCUCUACUAAAAAUACAAAAAUUAGCCAGACAUGAUGGCAUGUGCCUGUAGUCCCAGCUCGUUGGGAGGCUGAGGCAGGAGGAUCACUUGAACCCGAGAGGCAGAGAUUGCAGUGAGCCGAGAUUGGGCCACUGCACUCCAGCCUGGGAGACAGUGCGAGACUCCGUCUCAAAAAAAAAAAAGCAGGAAAGAAAGAAAAAAAGCAUGGCAUUCAUUUCCAGUCCCUGUGGAGGGACAGGGCAUGCAGCGGAGGGCAGGUGUGGCCAGAUUGACCAGGAUUCCGUAAUGACCCAAUAAAGCAUUUAUCAAC
This is a long non-coding RNA of Macaca fascicularis (crab-eating macaque), 1603 nucleotides long. The record is from Ensembl. Lineage: Eukaryota; Metazoa; Chordata; Mammalia; Primates; Cercopithecidae.